Medicago truncatula (barrel medic) is the source of this 663-nucleotide long non-coding RNA. RefSeq lists it as uncharacterized. The transcript is spliced from 3 exons. Lineage: Eukaryota; Viridiplantae; Streptophyta; Magnoliopsida; Fabales; Fabaceae. The record is from RefSeq and is a predicted model, not a curated record.
AGAAACCCUUACCGCGCAAGCUUCUGAUCUAAAAUCAGUCUCUCUCAAAAAUUUUGUUUGGUCAUAGCUAACAUAGUUGAUAGUAGAGGAAUUCUUCUUAUGUGGACUCAGUAAAGGCAUUAUUUUUCGUGCAGCACUCGUGAUCAAACUUUGUUCCUACCAUCAAAGGUUUUGCGCUACAAGAGGGAGCAAAAUAUGGGUGAAAUUAUAAAAUUUGUUUACUCUAGAAUCAUUUUUCUUUCACUAUUUCUUUUGGCAACCGAUACCCAAGCACUUAUUGAAUGUUAUACUUACUUUGAUUGUCCUAAAGAUAUGUGUAUUUUUCCUUCUAUUGUGGUGUGUGUUAGAAAUCAAUGUGACUGUGUUGAAAUGUUUUAGACUAAGCAGAUUGGGCGGUGAAGAAUGAGGUUUUGCAUUAGAAAAAGAUCUAAGAAAAUUAGAAUAUUUCAUGAGUUGUCAAUUAGUUAUUGUGUAAUGAUUGGAUUUUUUUUAUAUCCUUUCUUAUUUUUUUAAAUGAUUCAUAGGAGAAGGUGGAGAUGAACUUCAUAGGAGAAGUAUGAUUGAUAGGUAGAAACAUAGGGAAAACCAUUAGAAUUCAUCAUAUUUAAUUGUAUUGAAAAUGAUUCAGUAAUGAGUACAUGGAUGGUUUUAGAAUGUCAAAAA